UACGGAAGGCAGCAGUGGGGAAUAUUGCACAAUGGGCGCAAGCCUGAUGCAGCCAUGCCGCGUGUAUGAAGAAGGCCUUCGGGUUGUAAAGUACUUUCAGCGGGGAGGAAGGCGAUGUGGUUAAUAACCGCGUCGAUUGACGUUACCCGCAGAAGAAGCACCGGCUAACUCCGUGCCAGCAGCCGCGGUAAUACGGAGGGUGCAAGCGUUAAUCGGAAUUACUGGGCGUAAAGCGCACGCAGGCGGUCUGUUAAGUCAGAUGUGAAAUCCCCCGGGCUUAACCUGGGAACUGCAUUUUGAACUGGCAGGCUUGAGUCUCGUAGAGGGGGUAGAAUUCCAGGUGUAGCGGUGAAAUGCGUAGAGAUCUGGAGGAAUACCGGUGGCGAAGGCGGCCCCUGGGACGAGACUGACGCUCAGGUGCGAAAGCGUGGGGAGCAAACAGGAUUAGGAUACC
This 454-nucleotide ribosomal RNA is filed under the name uncultured bacterium. RNAcentral's name for it is "bacterial SSU rRNA". It matches the Rfam family "Bacterial small subunit ribosomal RNA", at positions 340 to 786 of the family's 1533-position model. The record is from RNAcentral.